AAGUGCCUAAAAACCGAAUUUUAAGCAAACCCAAUUAGAGAUUCAGCUGACCUAUCCCUGGCAUUUAUACAAAUGGGUUACAUGGUCAACAAUAAAGGAAAGUUGGUGCAAAUUGCAGACCUUUUCUUUGGUAGCUUCUUCCUUUUUCGAAAUAAAUUUGCUCCUUCGGCGAAAUGGCUGGGGUGGCUCCAAUGUCAUUCCCAAAUUGUUGCUUCCCUCAAACUGCGGUGUAACAAUUAACAAGAGAAGACAAACCAGUACCCAAGGUCUCGACAUCAUUAAAUGCAGCCUUUUUCACAUAAUCUGCUCUAAACCCAGAAACGGAAAAGAAAAAGAAAAAGAAAAGGAAAAAAAAAACAAAAGAAAUGAGCGAGCAUCAGCUUCGCUUAUAGGUUCAGUAAUCAGGGAAGUCAUAGCUCAGACCACAGACCUCAUCUGUCGGGGUCGGUUGUCGUUUGACUCAGUUUGGGUGUCAUUCUGAAGGAACUGCCGAUCGAUACCAUGCGAUCUCUCCUCUAUUAUUUACGUGUAUAAUUUUUAUCAUGAAUAAUAUUAUAACUAUUUUAAUUAUUAUUUAUGGUAUUUUUAAUUUAUAUAUUAUAUAUUGUAAUUUUAAUUAUUAAUUAGUGUAAAAAUUAUAAUUUUAUAAAAUUAUAAUUAAUAAAUUAUAAAAAAAUAAUAUGAUUUAAAUAAAAUUCUCAAAAUUUCAUAUUACUCGCUAAAAAAUCGAAAUUGAUCUACCAAAAGAAG
RNAcentral lists this long non-coding RNA (750 nucleotides) under Manihot esculenta (cassava). Its description in RNAcentral is "long non-coding RNA (MESC_LNC005243)". The record is from RNAcentral. Lineage: Eukaryota; Viridiplantae; Streptophyta; Magnoliopsida; Malpighiales; Euphorbiaceae.